GACGAACGCUGGCGGCGUGCUUAACACAUGCAAGUCGAACGGAAAGGCCCUGCUUUUGUGGGGUGCUCGAGUGGCGAACGGGUGAGUAACACGUGAGUAACCUGCCCUUGACUUUGGGAUAACUUCAGGAAACUGGGGCUAAUACCGGAUAGGAGCUCCUGCUGCAUGGUGGGGGUUGGAAAGUUUCGGCGGUUGGGGAUGGACUCGCGGCUUAUCAGCUUGUUGGUGGGGUAGUGGCUUACCAAGGCUUUGACGGGUAGCCGGCCUGAGAGGGUGACCGGCGACAAUGGGACUGAGAUACGGCGCAGACUCCUACGGGAGGCAGCAGUGGGGAAUAUUGCACAAUGGGCGGAAGCCUGAUGCAGCAACGCCGCGUGCGGGAUGACGGCCUUCGGGUUGUAAACCGCUUUCGCCUGUGACGAAGCGUGAGUGACGGUAAUGGGUAAAGAAGCACCGGCUAACUACGUG
This 468-nucleotide ribosomal RNA is filed under the name uncultured bacterium. Its description in RNAcentral is "partial 16S ribosomal RNA". It matches the Rfam family "Bacterial small subunit ribosomal RNA", at positions 28 to 507 of the family's 1533-position model. The record is from RNAcentral.